RNAcentral lists this ribosomal RNA (491 nucleotides) under uncultured bacterium. RNAcentral's name for it is "partial 16S ribosomal RNA". It matches the Rfam family "Bacterial small subunit ribosomal RNA", at positions 28 to 507 of the family's 1533-position model. The record is from RNAcentral.
GAUGAACGCUGGCUAUAGGCUUAACACAUGCAAGUCGAGGGGAAACGACGGGGAAGCUUGCUUCCCCGGGCGUCGACCGGCGCACGGGUGAGUAACGCGUAUCCAACCUGCCUCUGACUGAGGGAUAACCCGUCGAAAGUCGGCCUAAUACCUCAUGGUAUCGUCUGCGGGCAUCCAACGACGAUUAAAGAUUUCAUCGGUCAGGGAUGGGGAUGCGUCUGAUUAGCUUGUUGGCGGGGUAACGGCCCACCAAGGCUACGAUCAGUAGGGGUUCUGAGAGGAAGGUCCCCCACAUUGGAACUGAGACACGGUCCACACUCCUACGGGAGGCAGCAGUGAGGAAUAUUGGUCAAUGGGCGAGAGCCUGAACCAGCCAAGUAGCGUGCAGGAAGACGGCCCUAUGGGUUGUAAACUGCUUUUAUGCGGGGAUAAAGUGAGGGACGUGUCCCUCAUUGCAGGUACCGCAUGAAUAAGGACCGGCUAAUUCCGUG